Molecule: long non-coding RNA, 646 nt
Organism: Raphanus sativus (radish)
Lineage: Eukaryota; Viridiplantae; Streptophyta; Magnoliopsida; Brassicales; Brassicaceae
Exons: 3
Source: RefSeq, a predicted model, not a curated record
UUUUACCUGCAUUUUGACGAUAUAUUUUAGUAUUUAUAGAUAAUCGGUGCUAUGGUGAGCUGAAUGUAUUGGCAGUGAAACAUCUGCAAGUUUUAUCCUCUCCCGGAAAUCUUAACCAGUUUGUCUUUUAGCAGGUCUAGAAGAAGCACAAAUAUGAUGAUGUGAAACCGAAGAGCCCAUAAAAAGAAAUGAUGAGGAAGAUAGAAAGAAGACAUGGAGAAAUCAAAGAAAUAACUUUUUAUAAAAGUCUAUAGUGCAUGGAGUUAUGUCAGAUGAUGUUACUCGGUUAUUGAAUCGGAGUCACCACUACUCAGUUGUGGGCUUACAUGGCUUAUCUUAGCCGAGAAUAUAGGAAAGGUAAUGUGUUAUUAUUUCAUUGAAGUGAAUGUCUCUCAACCUUAUUAGUUGCUGGAUACUCAUAAGCAAGAAAAACUUAUAUUGAGUUUGUAAGCUUUGUUAGACAAUGCUGGUCCAUCCAGAAAAGUAUGGAGAGUGAGAUAGUAGUUGAAGCUUUUAAGAACUGCAUAACCCAUAUGAUGUAGUGAUUGUGGUUCAUCAUUUGUAUUGGUGUAUCAAGUACCUCCAUCUCUGAUCUCCCUAGCUGUUUUACAUUGGGAAUUUGAGCUGGGGGAGGAAUACUAAGAAU